RNAcentral lists this ribosomal RNA (496 nucleotides) under uncultured bacterium. RNAcentral's name for it is "bacterial SSU rRNA". It matches the Rfam family "Bacterial small subunit ribosomal RNA", at positions 28 to 525 of the family's 1533-position model. The record is from RNAcentral.
GAUGAACGCUAGCGGGAGGCUUAACACAUGCAAGUCGAGGGGUAAAUGGUAGCAAUACUAUGAGACCGGCGGACGGGUGCGUAACGCGUAUGCAACAUACCUUGUGCAGGGGGAUAGCCCGUGGAAACGCGGAUUAAUAUUCCAUAGUCCAGCUAUAUCGCAUGGUAUAGUUGGUAAAGAUUUAUCGGCACAAGUUUGGCAUGCGUCUGAUUAGCUUGUUGGUAGGGUAACGGCCUACCAAGGCUACGAUCAGUAGGGGUUCUGAGAGGAUUAACCCCCACACUGGUACUGAGACACGGACCAGACUCCUACGGGAGGCAGCAGUGAGGAAUAUUGGUCAAUGGGCGGAAGCCUGAACCAGCCAUCCGCGUGAAGGAAGACAGCCUUACGGGUUGUAAACUUCUUUUCUGUCAGAAGAAUAAGCUUGUCGAGACGAGUGAUGCCGGUAUGACAGGAAUAAGCAUCGGCUAACUCCGUGCCAGCAGCCGCGGUAAAA